RNAcentral lists this long non-coding RNA (1454 nucleotides) under Sus scrofa (pig). RNAcentral's name for it is "lncRNA (ENSSSCG00040069821.1)". The record is from RNAcentral. Lineage: Eukaryota; Metazoa; Chordata; Mammalia; Artiodactyla; Suidae.
UUGCACUGUAGGGGCUGCGUGGGGGCUGCUGUCACGGACUGUGGGUGCUAGAGGAGGCCAGUGUUAGGGAGGGGUGCCUGAGCCAGACUGUGGGGUUAGGGUCGGGCUUCCUGGAAGAGCGGGGUCAUCAGAGCAGAGUCCUGAGGUAGAGUCAAUGAUGUUAGAGGAGACGUGAGUUAAUCACAGUAGCCAGGCAUGUUUCUAAGGCUGUACAUCUUUAAUGUACCACAAUCGCCAGGGAAGGGGUUACCUGUACCAUUUUCCUCAGUUGAUAGAAAAGGAACCUGACAUACAAGGAGAUUAGGUUAGGUAGUUGGGUCAGCCCCAUAAGCUUCUGGAGAUGACUGCCCUGCAAGGGCAAGAACUUAGCUCACCUAUCUAUACCCAAUGCUGGCUGAGACCAGCCUGGGCUGGCCAUCAGGUUGGUGCCCUUGUGAGGCUCAAAGAGAAUGGUUCCGGGAAGCAGAUGGGUUGGUAUAGCUCCACUUUUAAGAGCACAGGUUCAGCCAUCUGACUUGAGCCUGAGCUUCACCUUGCUGGCAAUCCACUUCUCUGAGCCUCAUACUCGUCUGUAAAUGGGCACACUGCCGGCCCUGACCUCACUGGGUUCUUGGGGGGAUUCAGUGACUCAUUGCUUGGCCGAGGCCUGGCUCACUGAGCUGCUUAUAAAGAGAGGCUCUUAGACCGAGACGCCCUUGCUCCAGAGGUCCAGACAAAGCAGGAAGAGUGGUCCACUGGGUGAGUCCUGUGCAGUGGGGUUUGUAGGGAGCUUGGCAUAUGGGGGUGGCAUGAGGGUGGAGGGCUAGGGAGGCCUCUUGGACCUGAGCUGAACAGCUUGAGGUCAGCUCCCUUCUGUGUGAGGGGUGGUGAGAGAGGAAGGUGCCUUGCAUCCACAAAAUGAGGAGCAGGAAGUGACUGCAGGAAGACCAGCAAGGGCUACUGGGAAACGUGGGCAGGGGAGCCAAUUCACUCAAGUCUCAGGUCCUUUUCAUGUUUCUUGUUGAUCAAAGUAAAAAUGCAGGGAAAAUGUGUGUGUGUGUGCGUGCGUAUGUGUGUGUGUGUGUAUAAUUGUCUUGGUUGUGUGUGGGGUCUGGACUGUAGGAGAUACGGUGUGUGUGGCAGCCUGUGGAGAGGGGGUGGGUGGGCAGAGACUUCCUUGUAGGGUGGUCGUGGGCUCCCUGGGGGAGGAGAUCGGGAGGCUAGUUCUGGCCACUGGAAGUGGGGGCAGGGCCCCAAAUGAGUCCUUUUGCUGCAGGCCACCUGACUUGGACUCCUGAGAGCAGGGAAUGGCCCAGGGACAAUGGGAUGUGUUUGGGGCUGGGUCAGCCUGAGCCAGACUGCAGCCUUGUCCAGUUCAGCUGUGGUGCCCUAGAGGCCCCCACGGGACAGUGGCCAAGCCAUGCCCAUGGCUCAACCAGGUCUCACCUGUCAGUGAGACUGUCACCUGAGCUCCA